This 900-nucleotide ribosomal RNA is filed under the name uncultured bacterium. RNAcentral describes it as "bacterial SSU rRNA". It matches the Rfam family "Bacterial small subunit ribosomal RNA", at positions 9 to 899 of the family's 1533-position model. The record is from RNAcentral.
GAGUUUGAUCCUGGCUCAGGAUGAACGCUAGCUACAGGCUUAACACAUGCAAGUCGAGGGGAAACGAUAUUGGAAGCUUGCUUCCGAUAGGCGUCGACCGGCGCACGGGUGAGUAACGCGUAUCCAACCUGCCCAUCACUUGGGGAUAACCUUGCGAAAGUAAGACUAAUACCCAAUGAUAUCUCUAGAAGACAUCUGAAGGAGAUUAAAGAUUUAUCGGUGAUGGAUGGGGAUGCGUCUGAUUAGCUUGUUGGCGGGGUAACGGCCCACCAAGGCGACGAUCAGUAGGGGUUCUGAGAGGAAGGUCCCCCACAUUGGAACUGAGACACGGUCCAAACUCCUACGGGAGGCAGCAGUGAGGAAUAUUGGUCAAUGGACGAGAGUCUGAACCAGCCAAGUAGCGUGCAGGAUGACGGCCCUAUGGGUUGUAAACUGCUUUUAUAAGGGAAUAAAGUGAGAGUCGUGACUCUUUUUGCAUGUACCUUAUGAAUAAGGACCGGCUAAUUCCGUGCCAGCAGCCGCGGUAAUACGGAAGGUCCGGGCGUUAUCCGGAUUUAUUGGGUUUAAAGGGAGCGUAGGCCGGAGAUUAAGCGUGUUGUGAAAUGUAGACGCUCAACGUCUGCACUGCAGCGCGAACUGGUUUCCUUGAGUACGCACAAAGUGGGCGGAAUUCGUGGUGUAGCGGUGAAAUGCUUAGAUAUCACGAAGAACUCCGAUUGCGAAGGCAGCUCACUGGAGCGCAACUGACGCUGAAGCUCGAAAGUGCGGGUAUCGAACAGGAUUAGAUACCCUGGUAGUCCGCACGGUAAACGAUGGAUGCCCGCUGUUGGUCUGAAUAGGUCAGCGGCCAAGCGAAAGCAUUAAGCAUCCCACCUGGGGAGUACGCCGGCAACGGUGAAA